UUGAGUACCCCACCUUAGGGCAAUGUAGGCAAAAAUUAGGGAUUUUGGCAAGAGACUGCAUCCGGAUGGUCCUGAUCUUGGAAGCAGUUUUAAACAGUCAUUUGGUUCUGAUUCUUCAUUCUCAACCAAAUACAAGAGCACAGUGGAUUUCAAAGUUGGUAUGGAGAGUAGUGAUCAUUGUAUUCAAUGUAGCCCUUUUCCAUGUAAAUUACCAUUUCUCAAACUUUGUAAAGAUCCAUGGUGUCUCG
Molecule: long non-coding RNA, 248 nt
Filed under: Lathyrus oleraceus (garden pea)
Lineage: Eukaryota; Viridiplantae; Streptophyta; Magnoliopsida; Fabales; Fabaceae
Description: Pisum sativum (pea) long non-coding RNA (PSAT_LNC010308)
Source: RNAcentral